Molecule: non-coding RNA, 3043 nt
Organism: Lactuca sativa (garden lettuce)
Lineage: Eukaryota; Viridiplantae; Streptophyta; Magnoliopsida; Asterales; Asteraceae
Source: RefSeq, a predicted model, not a curated record
CGUUAGUUGCUUGGCUGCAUGCAUCACCAAUCUGCCUGCUUGUUUCCAGUCAUCAUUGCAUCAGGCCAACGCAACAGACUUCAAAGGUGGGUUUACUCUUUGUCGGUGUUUCCCCCAAAGCUCUUUGCCGCCUCAAUUAAGCUUCUUAAGGCGAGUCACUCUUUCUUUCUCACGUUUUUCUUUUUGCCACUCUUUCUUCUCCUUUUUCUUUCUUAUUGAGAAGUAACCGCCUUAGAUUUCUUUAACCACCAAUAUCUCCUGAUCCAGGUAAUCAGUUCUAUUUUUUAGUAUUUAUCUACAACAUGAGAUUUUUGGUCUGGUAUCAAUGGAUAGUUACUAAAUGUUCUGUACACCAAAUCCUUUUAUGCAUCUUGUUUAUAUAUGUAAAUUAAAAUAUGAGAAUCGACCAGUAGCAGCAAGAACUCAAUUUGCAGAUUAUUUUUUCCUUGUUGUUUCAGUUGAUGUCUUCGGCUAUAAUUUUCUUUUUGUUCACUGCUGCUUGAAGUGGUUACAUUAACCCUAAUCAUCCACAGAAGUUUAUUUAUUUAUAUAUUCUUACUCAUUAUCUGCAUGAAAUCUCUUUUCUCUUUUGCAUCAUGGUGGUAGUACUAAAAAAUUUCAAAAAGGGGGCGAGGGGUUCUCUGUUCCACGUCGAUGGGUUGCUUCCCUCCCCCAAUAGAAAGACUGGAGCGGGCAUUUUUAACGUAUAUGACGGUGAGCAGCUUGGCUGUCUACAUCACCGAGGUGCCUGCCUGUAUUACCAGGGUGCCUGCUUCCGACGCCGCCUUACAAACGUUUAUGACGUAUGAUUCCCGCCAGCGAUGGUCUAAUUGAAGAAAUCGACUACUUGGGCUAUGGGUUUUCCUUUUGGCGGUGAUGUUUUCUUCAAAGCUGCUUUCACCUACUGCUUUGUUUGAAGCGUCGAUGAAAUGUGCGUUCGUCGCCUUGCUUCCCUUUGUCGAGUCACACUCUAUUAUGAGCUCUGGUGGCCACCUAUUGUCGUGGUUUUCAAGACAAUGCUUUGGGUGAGUGAUUUCGACCUCAAAUCGAAGCUACAUGAUUAGGGAUUUUUUGUUUUGUUGUGUUCGUUUGCUGGAUUAUGGCUCUAUCUUCACAAAAAGUUUUAAUUUGAGACGUUGGAUUAAACAAGAAAGGAUGUUCUCCUUUUCAUCUGAUGGUGGUCGGAGACAUACGACGUUGCCGCCUGCCAGGGCAGCUUAUGUCUUCGUUUUUCCUGAUUUAGACAAAGGGUGGGCGAAAAGCUUGACAAGUAAACCAUGGGACCAAAAGGAGCUCAUGCAGUGCCAACUCACAUCAACUAACACACAAUCUAGAAGAAUUCAAAAGAUAUGGUACAUGGUCAUCCAAUGGCUAAGGGAAUCUUAUUCUGGCCCAUUGGUGGCUUAUAUGUAUGCACACAAACACAAUCUUGUAACAAAUAUUAUGACAUUCUAAGAACAUCUAAAGAUGAUGAAAAGAGGGACGGUUCUUGUUCCCAACUAACAAAUUAGUUGUUAUUUUUAAGGGGGGUUCAUGGCCAACGGUCUUGCAAAAGACAUUGUAAGGUAUUGCUAAACCUGGCCCUAAUUUCGAACUUUUUGAUCAGGAAGUCGUUAGUAAUGAAAAAUUAUGAUAUUACUUAUGGUUUUUUUUUUUUUUUUUUUUUUUUUUUUUUUUUUUUUUUUGCAAUUUAUUCUCAUUUUCUAUGUCCAUUACUUUCUUUUUAAAUUACAGAUCAUACGUGGAUAUAGAAUGCCAUGAAACUGUUAAAUCAAAGUUGAAGAAAUUCUCAUUCUUGAACAACUUCAAGAGGAGAGCAUCAACGGUAUGUUUAAGAAGGAGGCGUCGGAUGCAUUCUCUUCCGAAAGACGAAAUCAAUUUUCCGGACCUUGUUAUAGACAAUCCAUUAUAACCGGUAGAGUUUAUUUAUUUUUAUUAAAAUCGAUCACAUCCAUCCUCCCAGUUAAGUACUUCACAAAUUAAAAUAGAUGGGGUAAUUUAUUUUUAUUGUUAAAAAUCUAUUCAAUUAUAUGCUUUUCAUUUACGAGGCUUUCUAAAAUCUAAGAAUUUCCGACAAAUUACCUUUGAAAUUUUACUAUCUUCUUUUUUCACAUAACAUGUUUGGCAAAAUGUCAAACCAAGUGUGCUUGUAAUAUUGGUGUAUGUAGGAUACAAUUCCUAUUUUUGCACAUAUUAUGUUUGACAAAAUGUCACAAUGAAGUUUUAUCAGGUUUUCUUACAUAUUUUACAUAAGUUCAAUUAUUUUACACCAGAUUAUCGCAUCUGUAGUCAAUCCAAUAUAUUAGUUGAUUGAUAAAAAGUUUCAACAACUUAGGUCUUUCAUCUUUUGUCCUGUUUAAUAGGCUUUAUCUUCUCAACUUGCCAUCUCAUGUGUGUGUGUUUGUGCAAAUCAUAGUGUAUAUGUUAUUUCAAUGGCUUACAAGCUAUCCAAGAGAAAAAUUUAUGAUGAUUUGCAUUCAGUGCAUAUUUAUUAUUAUUAUUAUUAUUAUUAUUAUUAUUAUUAUUAUUAUUAUUAUUUGGAAAUGAGCAAAGGUGAAAACUUUAACAGAUUAGCAAUCUAUUUAUCCUUUUUUCUUCUUGUACCUUGUUGACACAUAUGAAAGCUAAGUUUUUCUGGUCAAUGUUGGCUUCUGAUUUUGUUGAUUGCGAUGCAUAUUUUGUCAGCGGAUCAUUUCGAAGAGGAACAUUAGCAUGUUCUCUGGCCUUGUCUAGGUUGAUGACAAGGAAAACAUAGGACAAAGGUGAAGCAAACCACGCUGCUAGGGAGCAGCUACUUGUUGAAUGAUAGACAAAUAAUUUAUCAAAGCAUAAAAGUUUUAGGCCUCAAAAAGCAUGCUCAAGUACUUAAUUCAUGAAUCUGUGUUGAUUUGAUGCUGCAAUCACUGACUCCUGGAAAAGCCUAGGACUUCAACUAAAUAUAAGAAAUGCCAAUCUACUUUAACUAAUUAUUUAUUAGAGCAUCCUACUUAUAUAGUACAUCUAAAAAUUUACCAAUUAAUGGAAUGUGAUCCAAAUAUUAUCG